UGAGGAAUAUUGGUCAAUGGACGCAAGUCUGAACCAGCCAAGUAGCGUGCAGGAUGACGGCCCUAUGGGUUGUAAACUGCUUUUAUAUGGGGAUAAAGUGGGGAACGUGUUCCCUUUUGCAGGUACCAUAUGAAUAAGGACCGGCUAAUUCCGUGCCAGCAGCCGCGGUAAUACGGAAGGUUCGGGCGUUAUCCGGAUUAAUUGGGUUUAAAGGGAGCGUAGGCCGUUUGGUAAGCGUGUUGUGAAAUGUAGGAGCUCAACUUCUAGAUUGCAGCGCGAACUGUCAGACUUGAGUGCGCACAACGUAGGCGGAAUUCAUGGUGUAGCGGUGAAAUGCUUAGAUAUCAUGAAGAACUCCGAUUGCGAAGGCAGCUUACGGGAGCGCAACUGACGCUGAAGCUCGAAGGUGCGGGUAUCGAACAGG
Molecule: ribosomal RNA, 424 nt
Filed under: Verrucomicrobiota bacterium
Lineage: Bacteria; Pseudomonadati; Verrucomicrobiota
Description: Verrucomicrobia bacterium partial 16S ribosomal RNA
Rfam family: Bacterial small subunit ribosomal RNA
Source: RNAcentral